CAGCAGUAAGGAAUAUUGGGCAAUGGACGCAAGUCUGACCCAGCCAUGCCGCGUGAAGGAUGACGGUCCUCUGGAUUGUAAACUUCUUUUAUCUGGGGCGAAAACCACCCUUUCUAGGGUGCUUGACAGUACCAGGUGAAUAAGCACCGGCUAACUCCGUGCCAGCAGCCGCGGUAAUACGGAGGGUGCAAGCGUUAUCCGGAUUCACUGGGUUUAAAGGGUGCGUAGGCGGGCAGGUAAGUCAGUGGUGAAAUCUUCGAGCUUAACUCGGAAACUGCCGUUGAUACUAUCUGUCUUGAAUUUAGUGGAGGUAAGCGGAAUAUGUCAUGUAGCGGUGAAAUGCUUAGAUAUGACAUAGAACACCAAUUGCGAAGGCAGCUUGCUACACUAUUAUUGACGCUGAGGCACGAAAGCGUGGGGAUCAAA
RNAcentral lists this ribosomal RNA (426 nucleotides) under Bacteroidetes bacterium SCGC AAA487-E10. Its description in RNAcentral is "bacterial SSU rRNA". It matches the Rfam family "Bacterial small subunit ribosomal RNA", at positions 349 to 772 of the family's 1533-position model. The record is from RNAcentral. Lineage: Bacteria; Pseudomonadati; Bacteroidota.